UGCCUCCACACAGGAUUGAACUAUGGACCUUUGCAUUACAAGUGCAACGCUCUACCACUGAGCUAUAAAGGC
RNAcentral lists this transfer RNA (72 nucleotides) under Fusarium oxysporum f. sp. vasinfectum. RNAcentral's name for it is "tRNA-Thr". The record is from RNAcentral. Lineage: Eukaryota; Fungi; Ascomycota; Sordariomycetes; Hypocreales; Nectriaceae.